CCUACGGGUGGCAGCAGUGAGGAAUAUUGGUCAAUGGCCGCAAGGCUGAACCAGCCAAGUCGCGUGAGGGAUGACGGUCCUAUGGAUUGUAAACCUCUUUUGUCAGGGAGCAAAGUGCACCACGUAUGUCGCUUUGCGAGUACCUGAAGAAAAAGGAUCGGCUAACUCCGUGCCAGCAGCCGCGGUAAUACGGAGGAUGCGAGCGUUAUCCGGAUUUAUUGGGUUAAAGGGGUGCGCAGGCGGAAUAUCAAGUCAGCGGUAAAAUUUCGGGGCCCACCCCAGUCGUGCCGUUGAAACUGGCGUUCUUGAGUGAGGGAGAGGUAUGCGGAAGGCGGGGUGUAGCGGUGGAAUGCAUAGAUAUCACGAAGAACUCCGAUUGCGAAGGCAGCAUACUGGAGUUCAACUGACGCUGAUGCUCGAAAGCGUGGGUAUCGAACAGGAUUAGAUACCCGGGUAGUC
Molecule: ribosomal RNA, 459 nt
Filed under: uncultured bacterium
Lineage: Bacteria
Description: partial 16S ribosomal RNA
Rfam family: Bacterial small subunit ribosomal RNA
Source: RNAcentral